This is a long non-coding RNA of Cornus florida, 1640 nucleotides long. RefSeq lists it as uncharacterized. Lineage: Eukaryota; Viridiplantae; Streptophyta; Magnoliopsida; Cornales; Cornaceae. The record is from RefSeq and is a predicted model, not a curated record. The transcript is spliced from 5 exons.
ACGCAGUUUGAAAGCUUUAAAUUAUAAUUUGGUAAAUUUAACCCAAUUGUUAUUCUUCCAACCCUAGUAUUCUGUUCUUUUAUCUUUCUAUUAAUUCCACUGCUGAGGCGCUAGAAGCUGCCGCCGGUAAUCUGGGUCUUUACUAAAUCUGUAACAUCUCACUGAGUAUUCGGUACAUCUCUGUAACUCUUUCUAUAUUUCAGUUGCUGCAAUCUGAAAGGUUAGGCAUGUCUCUCAGUCACCAGGUUUACUUCUUGGGGAGGAAUAAUCUAAAUGGCAUGAGUAGAGUCAGGAGAGAGUUCUGGAGGCUCAUGGUGGGGGUUUUACGAGGAAAGUCUGUGACUUAUCACAAUUAUCAAGACCUACGAGUCAAGAUAGCGCAUUGUUUCAGUCGCUAAAGCUAAAGUAUACCGAGAUAGCUUUAAGCACUAACAUAUCUCUGUUGAAUCAAGCUUCAUAUUCUGAUUGUAUCAGACUGAUACAAACUUCAUACAUACUGCUGUAAAAUAUGAGCUUCUUGAUGUUUACUUUCCAAAACUGAAGUCGGAGUUUAUUUUGCUUUUAUAACUACAAUCCUUUGAACUCUUGAAAUCUUAGCUCGAUCCCAAGGCUUGGUGAACUGCGGCGGUUGACUUUUUCAGCUUAGAUUGACUUUUUCAGCUGGGAUUGCUUAUGGUUGACCUAAGUUGAGGGCAUAUUUAAUUUCUAUUGAUAGAGAGCCGAACUAUACUUAUUUCCCUAAUAGACUUGCAAUCAAAUUGUAUUUUAUUUGUAAUUGCAACAACUGGAUCUUUUGGUUUGGAAAGUGCUUCGUAGCUCAAAUUUAUGUUUGUUUCUUAGCCAUCUAGUGAGUUACUUAGAUUUUUGUGUCUUUUUCUUCAAACACUUGUGUUCUCUCUUUCUCAAUACUUGAAAGAAUCAAGAUCUGCUCAUGGUUCUGUAUAUAUAUAUCUUUUGUUUAGGCUCCAUUUGUUUCAAUGUAAAAUAUUUUUCGUUGUUUUGUUGCAUAUAAAAGUAUUAAAAUUAUUUUUUUGAGUAAAAUGUUUUUUGCCAUACAUCCUAAAAUGACUCGUAGUCUUCACUGUUUGGGAUUCCUUAUUCAUUUUCAACAAUUUUCAUGUUUAUUUUAUUUAUUUUUUUUUUUUUUUGGCACAAGCAAACUAGUAUUUGAGGUGAUUAGGUUUUGAUCAUGAUAUCAGAACUGUUUGUUUGAUCUAUUAUGUCCAGUUCAAAGUUAAUUUCAUUGACAUUUUGGUUUGAUUUGAUUUGAAGAAUAAUUUAUUUAUCUUCAAAAUUCUUUUAAGCCUCUUUUAACCCAAGUUUUUUCUACUGGAAAUUGGGAUUACAUCUUAUAAUUCCGUGUCCAGACUUUUUGAGAAAAUUUCUAACGGAUGUAUUUUGAUUUACUUGUCUUUCUUUUCCGAGAGGGAUCAUUGGACUGGAUGGAAGAGGCAGUGAGAGAGCAAACACAAAUGUUGGAAAGGGUGCUAAGUUAUCAACCAACACAAUUAACAGAUUGAAUAAUUAUUUUUUUGGUGCUUUUUUGUUUAUAUAUAUGUGCUAACUCAGUGCACCAGUACAAUGAGGCUUGUUUUGUUUUUUUGUAAAGUAUAAAUGACUGGGGGAUAUAUUGGGUUUUU